AAUCAACGCUGGCGGCAUGCCUAACACAUGCAAGUCGAGCGAGAAAGUGUAGCAAUACAUGAGUAAAGCGGCGCACGGGUGAGUAACACGUGGAUAACCUGCCUCAAAGUGGGGAAUAACACCGGGAAACCGGUGCUAAUACCGCAUAUUCUGACGAGAUCUGCGGAUUUUGUCAGGAAAGGAGCAAUUCGCUAUGAGAGGGGUCCGCGGCUGAUUAGCUAGUUGGUGAGGUAAUGGCUCACCAAGGCCACGAUCAGUAGCCGGUCUGAGAGGACGGUCGGCCACACUGGAACUGAGACACGGUCCAGACUCCUACGGGAGGCAGCAGUGGGGAAUUUUUCGCAAUGGGGGCAACCCUGACGAAGCAAUGCCGCGUGGAUGAUGAAGUAUCUCGGUACGUAAAAUCCUUUCGACGGGGACGAAACCGCAAGGUUGACGGUACCCGUAGAAGAAGCCCCGGCUAACUCCGUGC
This 472-nucleotide ribosomal RNA is filed under the name uncultured bacterium. RNAcentral describes it as "bacterial SSU rRNA". It matches the Rfam family "Bacterial small subunit ribosomal RNA", at positions 32 to 508 of the family's 1533-position model. The record is from RNAcentral.